This 1698-nucleotide ribosomal RNA is filed under the name Triticum aestivum (bread wheat). Its description in RNAcentral is "partial small subunit ribosomal RNA". Lineage: Eukaryota; Viridiplantae; Streptophyta; Magnoliopsida; Poales; Poaceae. The record is from RNAcentral.
AUGGAGAGGCAGUCUAGCUCCCGGUUCGGCGCGCUGGAGAAGCUCAAGAGCUUCCGGGGCAUAGAGAAGCAGAGGAGCUUCAAGUUCCUGUCCAUGGAGAAGCAGCAGAGCUUCAAGGAGAGGCGGAGCCGGGACAGCCCCGGGAAGAGGGGCGACAGCGCGCUCCACCUCGCGGCCAGGGCCGGCAAUGUCUCCCACGUCCAGAGGAUCUUCGCCGACUGCGAUCCGGAGCUGGUGGGGGAGCUGGCCGCCCACCAGAACCUGGACGGCGAGACGGCGCUCUACGUGGCCGCCGAGAAGGGGCACGUCGACGUCGUGUGCGAGAUACUCAAGGCCUGUGACGUGCAGUCAGCGGGGCUCAAGGCGACCAACAGCUUCGAUGCCUUCCAUAUCGCGGCGAAACAGGGCCAUCUGGAUGUUCUGCAGGAGCUAUUGCAGGCAUUUCCUGCGUUAGCUAUGACGACGAGUUCUGUGAAUGCCACAGCUUUAGACACCGCCGCAACCCAGGGCCACAUUGGUAUCGUCAAUCUUCUACUGGAUACAGACGCAAGCCUUGCCAGGAUUGCAAGAAGUAAUGGGAAGACAGUUUUGCAUUCAGCAGCAAGAAUGGGUCAUGUGGAGGUGGUAGCGUCGUUGUUGAAUAAAGAUCCGGAUAUUGGUUUCAGAACAGACAGGAAGGGACAGACAGCACUGCACAUGGCUUCGAAAGGCCAGAAUGCUGAAAUUCUGCUUGAGCUGCUGAAGCCCGAUGUCUCAGUAAUCCAUUUGGAGGAUAACAAGGGGAACAGGGCACUCCAUGUUGCAACGCGGAAGGGCAAUACCAUUAUGGUUCAGACUUUAAUAUCCAUUGAAGAGAUUGAUAUCAAUGCAGUCAAUAAAGCUGGAGAGACUGCUUUUGCCAUUGCAGAGAAACAAGGCAAUGAAGAGCUUGUUAACAUCCUGCGAGAGGUUGGAGGGAUAACUGCAAAAGAGCAAGCAAAUCCUCCGAAAUCAGCCAAGCAGCUUAAGCAAACAGUGAGCGAUAUCAAGCAUGACGUCCAAUCACAGAUCAAGCAAACGCGUCAGACCAAGAUGCAUGUCCACAAGAUCAAGAAGAGGAUUCAGAAGCUCCACAUUGGCGGGCUAAACAAUGCCAUCAACUCCAAUACCGUUGUCGCGGUACUUAUUGCUACCGUUGCCUUUGCAUGCAUAUUCACCAUUCCUGGUAAUUUUCUGGAGAGUAUGGACAAAGCUACUGAGCCCGAUAUGACCUUAGGGCAAGCACUGGUAGCAAGCAGGCCAGCCUUUAUAAUCUUCUUGGUCUUUGAUUCCCUGGCUCUCUUUAUCUCUCUUGCGGUCGUCGUCGUCCAGACUUCCCUGAUCGUUGUUGAGCAGAAGGCAAAGCAGAAGAUGGUGUUUGUGAUGAACAAGUUGAUGUGGCUCGCGUGCCUCUGCAUAUCAGCAGCCUUCAUAGCGCUGACCUACGUCGUCGUGGGCCGCAAUGACGAGUGGCUGGCUUGGUGCACGAUGGCGAUCGGCACAGUGAUUAUGCUAACCACCAUUGGUUGCAUGUGCUAUUGCAUCAUCAGCCACAGGAUGGAAGCACAGAGCAUGAGGAGGAUCAGGAGGUCCUCCAUGAGCCAGUCAUGGUCCAUAUCAGUCGACUCGGACACGGAGCUAGACAUGACCAGCAGAAACAAGACGAUGUAUGCGCUCUAG